RNAcentral lists this unclassified non-coding RNA (301 nucleotides) under Lycoperdaceae sp. Its description in RNAcentral is "partial contains 5.8S ribosomal RNA, internal transcribed spacer 2, and large subunit ribosomal RNA". The record is from RNAcentral. Lineage: Eukaryota; Fungi; Basidiomycota; Agaricomycetes; Agaricales; Lycoperdaceae.
CGCACCUUGCGCUCCUUGGUAUUCCGAGGAGCAUGCCUGUUUGAGUGUCAUUAAAUUCUCAACUCCAUGUAUUAUUGUGAUGAUAGAUGGGGCUUGGAUAUGGGAGCUUGCGGGUCUUUAUAAGGUCAGCUCUCCUGAAAUACAUUAGCGGAACCGUUUGCAGUUGCCGUCAGUAGUGUGAUAAGUUUAUCUACACUGUGAUGGAUUGCUCUCUGACUAGUUCAGCUGCUAAUCGUCUGUUGUGGACAACUAUGAUGAUGAUCUUGACCUCAAAUCAGGUAGGACUACCCGCUGAACUUAA